This 763-nucleotide ribosomal RNA is filed under the name Enterococcus faecium. RNAcentral's name for it is "bacterial LSU rRNA". It matches the Rfam family "Bacterial large subunit ribosomal RNA", at positions 668 to 1439 of the family's 2925-position model. The record is from RNAcentral. Lineage: Bacteria; Bacillati; Bacillota; Bacilli; Lactobacillales; Enterococcaceae.
GCAGCGAAAGCGAGUCUGAACAGGGCGUUCAGUUCGUGGCUUUAGACCCGAAACCGAGUGAUCUAGCCAUGUGCAGGAUGAAGGUGGGGUAACACCCACUGGAGGUCCGAACCAGUGCCCGUUGAAAAGGUCUUGGAUGACGUGUGGCUAGGGGUGAAAGGCCAAUCAAACUCGGAAAUAGCUGGUUCUCCGCGAAAGCUAUUUAGGUAGCGCCUCGCGUGUAUGUCCCAGGGGGUAGAGCACUGGAUGGGCUAGGGCCGCCCACAGCGGUACCAAACCCAACCAAACUCCGAAUACCUGGGAACUUGCGCGGGAGACACACGGCGGGUGCUAACGUCCGUCGUGGAGAGGGAAACAACCCGGACCGACAGCUAAGGCCCCCAAUUCGUGGCUAAGUGGGAAAGGCAACCAGGAGGUUGGCUUAGAAGCAGCCAUCCUUUAAAGAAAGCGUAACAGCUCACUGGUCUAAACAAGGGGUCCUGCGCCGAAAAUGUAACGGGGCUCAAGCCACGAGCCGAAGCUUCGGAUGCAUUCCGCAAGGGAUGCGUGGUAGCGGAGCGUUCUCUAAGCCGGCGAAGCGGUACCCGUGAGGGGCCGUGGAGGUAUGAGAAGUGCGAAUGCUGACAUGAGUAACGACAAAGAGUGUGAAAGACACUCUCGCCGAAAGUCCAAGGGUUCCUGCGUAAAGUUAAUCUGCGCAGGGUUAGCCGGCCCCUAAGGCGAGGCCGAAAGGCGUAGUCGAUGGGAACGGGGCGAACAUUCC